This 73-nucleotide transfer RNA is filed under the name Rhodocyclaceae bacterium. Its description in RNAcentral is "tRNA-His". It matches the Rfam family "tRNA". Rfam says of the family: Transfer RNA (tRNA) molecules are approximately 80 nucleotides in length. Their secondary structure includes four short double-helical elements and three loops (D, anti-codon, and T loops). Lineage: Bacteria; Pseudomonadati; Pseudomonadota; Betaproteobacteria; Rhodocyclales; Rhodocyclaceae. The record is from RNAcentral.
GUGUGCGUAGUGUAGUGGUAGCAAAUCUGACUGUGAAUCAGAAGGCGAGGGUUCGAUUCCCCCGCACACCCCA